UAGGGAAUCUUCGGCAAUGGACGGAAGUCUGACCGAGCAACGCCGAGCGAGUGAAGAAGGUUUUCGGAUCGUAAAGCUCUGUUGUUAGAGAAGAACGUUGGUAGGAGUGGAAAAUCUACCAAGUGACGGUAACUAACCAGAAAGGGACGGCUAACUACGUGCCAGCAGCCGCGGUAAUACGUAGGUCCCGAGCGUUGUCCGGAUUUAUUGGGCGUAAAGCGAGCGCAGGCGGUUCUUUAAGUCUGAAGUUAAAGGCAGUGGCUUAACCAUUGUAAGCUUUGGAAACUGGAGAACUUGAGUGCAGAAGGGGAGAGUGGAAUUCCAUGUGUAGCGGUGAAAUGCGUAGAUAUAUGGAGGAACACCGGUGGCGAAAGCGGCUCUCUGGUCUGUAACUGACGCUGAGGCUCGAAAGCGUGGGGAGCAAACAGG
RNAcentral lists this ribosomal RNA (429 nucleotides) under Bacillota bacterium. RNAcentral describes it as "Firmicutes bacterium partial 16S ribosomal RNA". It matches the Rfam family "Bacterial small subunit ribosomal RNA", at positions 355 to 776 of the family's 1533-position model. Lineage: Bacteria; Bacillati; Bacillota. The record is from RNAcentral.